RNAcentral lists this ribosomal RNA (459 nucleotides) under uncultured bacterium. RNAcentral's name for it is "partial 16S ribosomal RNA". It matches the Rfam family "Bacterial small subunit ribosomal RNA", at positions 338 to 795 of the family's 1533-position model. The record is from RNAcentral.
CCUACGGGGGGCAGCAGUGAGGAAUAUUGGUCAAUGGACGAGAGUCUGAACCAGCCAAGUAGCGUGAAGGAUGACUGCCCUAUGGGUUGUAAACUUCUUUUAUAUGGGAAUAAAAUGUUCCACGUGUGGGAUUUUGUAUGUACCAUAUGAAUAAGGAUCGGCUAACUCCGUGCCAGCAGCCGCGGUAAUACGGAGGAUCCGAGCGUUAUCCGGAUUUAUUGGGUUUAAGGGAGCGUAGGUGGAUUGUUAAGUCAGUUGUGAAAGUUUGCGGCUCAACCGUAAAAUCGCAGUUGAAACUGGCAGUCUUGAGUACAGUAGAGGUGAGCGGAAUGCGUGGUGUAGCGGUGAAAUGCUUAGAUAUCACGAAGAACUCCGAUUGCGAAGGCAGUUCACUGGACUGCAACUGACACUGAGGCUCGAAAGUGUGGGUAUCAAACAGGAUUAGAUACCCGAGUAGUC